CGCGUAGGCGGUUUAGCGAGUGUGAUGUGAAAGCCCUGGGCUUAACCUAGGAAGUGCAUCGCAAACGGCUAAACUAGAGUAGAUGAGAGGGUGAUGGAAUUUCCGGUGUAGCGGUGAAAUGCGUAGAGAUCGGAAGGAACGUCGAUGGCGAAGGCAGUCACCUGGCAUCAUACUGACGCUGAGGCGCGAAAGCGUGGGAGCAAACA
RNAcentral lists this ribosomal RNA (206 nucleotides) under uncultured bacterium. RNAcentral describes it as "partial 16S ribosomal RNA". It matches the Rfam family "Bacterial small subunit ribosomal RNA", at positions 568 to 774 of the family's 1533-position model. The record is from RNAcentral.